RNAcentral lists this ribosomal RNA (435 nucleotides) under bacterium gwi50. RNAcentral's name for it is "bacterial SSU rRNA". It matches the Rfam family "Bacterial small subunit ribosomal RNA", at positions 86 to 506 of the family's 1533-position model. The record is from RNAcentral.
CUGAUGUCAGCGGCGGACGGGUGAGUAACACGUGGGCAACCUGCCUGUAAGACUGGGAUAACUUCGGGAAACCGGAGCUAAUACCGGAUAACUUCGAGCACCUCCUGGUGCUUGGAUAAAAGACGGCGUCUAGCUGUCACUUACAGAUGGGCCCGCGGCGCAUUAGCUAGUUGGUGAGGUAACGGCUCACCAAGGCGACGAUGCGUAGCCGACCUGAGAGGGUGAUCGGCCACACUGGGACUGAGACACGGCCCAGACUCCUACGGGAGGCAGCAGUAGGGAAUCUUCCGCAAUGGACGAAAGUCUGACGGAGCAACGCCGCGUGAGCGAUGAAGGCCUUCGGGUCGUAAAGCUCUGUUGUUAGGGAAGAACAAGUACCAGAGUAACUGCUGGUACCUUGACGGUACCUAACCAGAAAGCCACGGCUAACUACGU